AUACGGAGGGUGCAAGCGUUAAUCGGAAUUACUGGGCGUAAAGCGCACGUAGGCGGACUGGAAAGUUGGGGGUGAAAUCCCGGGGCUCAACCCCGGAACUGCCUCCAAAACUUCCAAUCUAGAGAUCGAGAGAGGCGGGUAGAAUUCCUAGUGUAGCGGUAAAAUGCGUAGAUAUUAGGAGGAAUACCAGUGGCGAAGGCGGCCCGCUGGACCAAUACUGACACUGAGGUACGAAAGCGUGGGUAGCAAACAGGAUUAGAAACCCCAGUAGUCC
This 274-nucleotide ribosomal RNA is filed under the name uncultured bacterium. RNAcentral's name for it is "partial 16S ribosomal RNA". It matches the Rfam family "Bacterial small subunit ribosomal RNA", at positions 523 to 796 of the family's 1533-position model. The record is from RNAcentral.